RNAcentral lists this unclassified non-coding RNA (1143 nucleotides) under Hevea brasiliensis (rubber tree). Lineage: Eukaryota; Viridiplantae; Streptophyta; Magnoliopsida; Malpighiales; Euphorbiaceae. The record is from RNAcentral.
UCCCUCCAAUUUAUUGGUCUCCAAUUCCAGUCUGCUCAUGCCGCCGGGAGUUCUUCCCCACAUCGGCGGCAAAGGUCCAAGUUUUCUCCGUCAGCAAUGUUGAAGAAAGUCGACGACAAGUCAGAUUGGUGGGUUGUUGACGGGGAAAUGCACGAAAUUGGUGAAAAUGUACCGCCCAGGGAGAGAUUCGUAAUCUCAAGACAGAACAUCCCUAACAAGCGUCGUAAGCAGCUUCGCGAACAGUUCAUGCGCCGUACUCGCCUAGUCCUUAAAGAAUCUGAGCAUGAACCAUGGUGCAAAAGAUAUAUGGAAUUGUAUAAAGAGAUGAGAGAGAACUGGGAGAGGCUAUAUUGGGAUGAGGGUUAUUCCAAAAAGCUUGCUCAAGAUCAUGCAAACUAUGAUUCUGCUGAAGAUGAUGAUGAAGAUUUCUCUCCAUACAGGAGAAGUAGACCUAAUGCUGACCAAAUGAAGGAACAAGGAGGAGUUACAGGGAGAAACAGACAAGGUGAUAACUGGGAAAAGGUUAGCCUAAUCCGUGAUAAAUUUGAGUACGACAGAGAGAGAAGAAUGAGAGAAAAAGCAUUUGCACCUAUGAGUGAAGCAAACAACAUUGGUAUGGAUUACUCAACUCCGAAGUACCAGGCCUCUGACACUCGGAGAUACAUAUCUGACAGCGAUAGUGACAUUGACUGACCGAAAAGACAGCCACCUUUCAGAAACUAGCAUCAAUUGUCUAUUUUGUUUGCGAGCAACUUUCAUAUGACACAGAUGAUAACUUAAUGUGUGUACAAGCAGGGCAUUGCAACAACACAACAAAGUUUAUGGGGCUUUCUUGAUCAACUAGUAGACUUGCAUGAAGAAAGAGACCGAUGUUGAAAAUGUACAAUAAAUUCCUUCGAAGUCACCUGCAUGAGCUCAAUUCAGAUAUCCAUAAAGGGGUGUGCUUAGUGUCUUGUAUAAUUCGGAAGCAGACUUCUCUACACUGUUGCUUUUCUACUGCGCUACCUGUGGGAAGUUUCUUAGCUUGGGACAGUGAAGGGAGCAUUGCUCCCAACCAACUGACAAUAAUGGUUAUGCUGCGAACACAAUUUCUUUGGGGGUUUAGCAAAACCUCUUUGAACUUGCUGCUAGUGCUCAUGUUGG